Molecule: long non-coding RNA, 12621 nt
Filed under: Coffea arabica (coffee)
Lineage: Eukaryota; Viridiplantae; Streptophyta; Magnoliopsida; Gentianales; Rubiaceae
Description: long non-coding RNA (CARA_LNC007870)
Source: RNAcentral
CUAACAAACUAUUUGCAUGUUAAACUAAUUAACUAAUUAACUGCUUAACUAAUUAACUAACUAAUUAUCUAAUUAAUUAAUUAACUAAUUUUUGUUUAUCUAAUUAACUAAUUGUCUAAUUAUCUAAUUAACUAAAGCUGUUGUCUAUCCGAAACUAAUAAACUAUUCGCAUGUUAAACUAAUUAACUAAUUAACUGCUUAACUAAUUAACUAACUAAUUAUCUAAUUAAUUAAUUAACUAAUUAACUAAUUUCUAUUUAUCUAAUUUACUAAUUAUCUAAUUAACUAAUUAACUAAAACUGUUGUUUGUCUGAAACUAACAAACUAUUUGCAUGAUAAACUAAUUAACUAAUUAACUGCUUAACUAAUUAACUAACUAACUGAUUAACAGACUAUUUGCAUGUUAAAUUAUAUGCAGUACGCAUUACCUAUUUAAAGUAUCGGCUCUUUAUGGGUAUUUUACUUUCAAACAUUUAAUUUAUGAUAAAAAUAUCAAUAUUUGUAAGUAAAAUUCAAAAAGUGUUACAGUAAUAUUCUUACAAAAAGGGAGGGGAGGUCAGUGCAAAUGUCAGAAAUCUCAGGGGAGGUUUCUGCAAUUAUCCCUACUUUGUAAGCAAGAUGACGAGUUCCUCUUGAUCAUCUUGUCCUUGAGAACCCUAUGUUGGUUGUAUUGUUUAUCUAUUUAAUCUUCAUUGACUUGUAUUUCGUGAUAUUUACUAUGAAUGAAUUUUAGCUAUCAUUUUUGUCGGACUAGCAAUGAGCAUCUGCAUUGCACAUGUUAGUCAAGACAUAAUGCGCAACAGGUCUUUUGUCUUAUUUCUGUUUUAUUUUUUGUCUCACUUUUUAUUAUAUUGCUAUUUUUCCUUCAUAAAUAUCGUAUUUUAAUUCUUUUUUUAUUUUCUUAAUAUUCAAUAACUGUUAACUGAGCAAUGAGAUUUUUUUAUAAAUUUAACAAAAUUAAAAAAUCGAAAUGCACAGAAAAAUGAGAUUUUUUUAAUGAUUUUUUUGCUGUAUUUUGUGAUUUCCUAUUAUAUAUUUGCUUUUUAGAAAUCAUUGUAUUUUUUUACUGUGUUAGCAGUUAUUUGAUAAUAAGAAAACAAAAAAAAAUGAUAUUUAUGAAAGCGAAAUACCAAUAUACUAAAAAGCGGGAUAUAGAGCGGAUACAAAGUGAGAUAGAAGAUUCAUUACACAAUAUCAAGAGUUGAAUUUUAGGGGAAUUACCAAAGGUGUGUGAAAGCUUUUUUGAGCGAGUAUUAUUGUACAUUCAACAAUUUAACAAAUCAAAUAUACCUUCCACUUAAAAUUUUGUACACAAAUUGAGUCAGUCAUAUUGUAAUCAAAUGUAAGCAAAUUUAAUUAUGAAUCCAGUCUAACCAAAAAAAAAAAGCACUGAACAUUAUCUCUAAGUAUUUAAUGAGGUUAUCAAACACCUCUAAAUUUUGAAGUUUUCACUGUAAUCCAAAACACAAGUUAGUAGUAAUAUGAAUACAUGGAUAGUAUACUCUAAAACAUGAUGCUUUUAUGAGAUGCAUGGGCUGUAAGACUGUCAACAGAUUGGGCCUUAACUUAGAUUCGAUCCGUUUUUUAGGUUAUAAAUAGAUAGUACAUCCAUUUACUCGAACUUGUUUUGUUUAUAAGUUGAACGCGCAGGUUAUGGAUUUAUAUAUUUCGAUCCAUUUUGAAUCAGGAUUCGAUCAGUAUAAAUAUUUUAAUUAAAAUACUAUAUAUUAAUUAAAUUUUAUUACUAAUCCACUCAUUUUUUCUAAAAAAGAUUUUCUAGAAAUCGAAUAAUUGUUAGAAUUAAUCCGAUUGUAUUGUUUAUAUUUAAAUAAAACUUUAAAAUUAUUAAAGAAUUAUUGUAUUAAAUUAAUCUAAAAAUCCAAAAAUGCCUAACCUAGAUCCUGAUCCAGCCAAGUUUGAAUUCUAAACUAUAUAUUGAGAAUUGUCUUGGUUUGGUUCCCAAUCAUUUUAUUACAUGUCGGAUCCAAAUGUGGAAUUACCAAUUUCAACUUGAAUCCGACCCCUUGACACCUUUAGUGGGUAAAAAUCAAUAUAUCCUUAAAUAAUGCCAAAAAAAAUUAUAAAAGUAAAUUAACGAUAGUAAAAUAAUAACAUCUCUAAUCUCCAUGAUUCGUAAAAUAUUAGUAUCUCUCUUUUAAAAAAAAAAAAUUGAACAAUAUUAACAUCUCUAAUAUCCAUCAUUUUAUUCGAGAAUGAUGACUCAUUGGCAUGUGAGAGCAUACUAAAAGAGCUACUAUUAGUCAAUCUCUAAAAUCCUAGAUACUUAACUAUCUAUACUCUUUUGGAUUUAACUAUUAUUGGCCCCUGUCGGGGUUUCUAUCCCACAUCGGCUUUGGGGGGGUUGGGAUUUGGGUAGUUAAGUCCCUGGGAGCAAUCCAAGAGUUGCCGGCUUUUGGGCAAUGUUUUAAAACCCGGACCGUCAAUUGAAUCGGUGAGGUGAAAGGGUCGAGGUUCAACCGGUCGGACCGGUUCAACCUCGAUUCAAUGAAUUUUUUUAAAAAUAAUUUAUAUAAAUAUAUAUAUGCACAAAAUAAGACAUGCAAUGGACUAAUUUAAAACUUUAUAUGAUGAAAAGUUCACUAUUUUUGAAUAAUUUGGAUUUUCAAAAAUAAAUUAUUUAAAUUAUAAGUUAAAAUAAAUAAAUUUCAUCUCAAUUUCAAUUAUAUCUAUCAAAAAAAUCUUAAAUCCAACCCAAAAAUAUCACAAUAUUUUGAAAUUAUACAAAUUCACGUCUAUGAGAAUUUGAUAUUGUGAACUUAAAUUUUAAUUUACGUCUUUGAGAUUUAAAGAUUGUAAUUUAAAAAAGAAAGUUUGGAGUUCGAAAGAAGUUAAGAGAAUUGAAAAUAGAAAUGCAAACUUGAUAAGAAACAAAAAAUGAGAUAAAAGUGAGUGGUUGUGGCAUUAAAUAAUUUGGGUUAAAGAAAAAUAAUUCUUUUUUAACUUUUUCCAAUUUAAUGGGCAAAAACAAAAUUAAAAGAUAGAAGAAAACAUCAAUAAAUUAGAACUAAUGAGGUUUGAUUAAAAAUGGAGUGACAAAAGAAAAGAUGAGGGAGAAAAGAAAGAGUUGAAGAUUAAAAAGAAAUAGUCAUGAGAGGAUGAGAUUUUGUAAGAAAAAUGGAAAAAUGAAAUAUAGAUGUUUGUUUUAUAUAAAUAAGUUAUCAAAAAAAGCAAAUAAGAUGUGAUGGUGCAAUGGUUACUACAUUGGUCUUCUAUUACAAAGGUUUUGAGUUCAAAUCUUGAUAGAAGCAUUUUGCAAAAAGUAAAAAAAAAAAAAUAAAAUAAAAUAAAAUAAAAAUAGGAAAACUCAAAAACCGGUUCGAUCCGGUUCAACACGGUUCACCGGUUUUCCCGAUUUUUACCGGGUUUGACCGGUUCUCUGGCAAAGUCAACCAGAGCAUAGAAUCGGACCGGUGCCAUGGCCGGUUCGCGGUUCAACCGGUCGAACCGGCCGGUCCGGUCCGGUUUUCAAAACAUUGCUUUUGGGUUGACUUUUGGGAUUAGGUUUAAUUAGUCAAAUUUUCGUUUCUCGAAAGAAGGAUUUAACUAUUAUUUUCUCGAAGUAUAGGUCACUUAUAUCGGGUCUCUUUCUAAUUAAUCAAACUAAUCAAUUGUUAAAAAAAUCAUCAGCCAUCACCUUCACAGUAGGCUCCACUGACUGUUGAUGAUUCAAAAUCGUGUGCAAAUUUGAUUCUAAAAGCCCCACCAAUCACAUUUCUUCUGUGGCCACUGGCCAUUUGGUCCGAUGGUCAUCACCCUCUUUGGUGAUGCUGGAGGUCAAGGAUUCAACCCCUGCCUCUCACAAAUUUGCCACUUUAUGUGGCUGGUCUUCUGCCCCCACGGGAUAGCUCGAGCGAUCCGCUCCCCCUCCUUAGGGUAUGGCGACCUUCCUGGUUUGUCCAGGAUUCGAGUCUCGCUGUUAACGUGCUCAGUGUGGAGUGGGACCUCCUCUCCCGGGUCGCAGGGAAUUAGUCGAACCCCGUAAGAAUUGACCCGGACACCCUGUGUUGACAAAAAAUAAAUAAAUAAAAAAUCACAUUUCUUCUGUCAAAUGACACUAAUCUUCUGAUUCCAUUCUUCCCAACUUUUCCUUUAGAUACCACAUCAUCUCCCCGCCUCUCUCCCCUGAGUCUUCAUCACUGAAAAACCCGAUCCAAACUCACAAGGCUGAGACAAAAAAGGAGUUGCUGUAUUGUUUUCACAACCAUCAGAAGCUAGCUGAGCUCCGAUGUAAGUCUUUAUAUAGCUCAAUGGAAGAUUACUUCUUUUCUUUUCUUCCCUUUAAAUAUUCUGCUAAAUUUAUGGAAGAUGCUAUUUUUGGUCGAAGCUGCCGUUUCUGGUUUUAGUAAUUUGUGUUGGUGAAGAAAGGAGAAGAGCAGAUUUUUGUUUUAGGCUAAGAAUAGAAAAGGUACAGGUAUUGCGACAGUUGAGUUAGUUUGCGUCAGAUUGUUGGCGGUCCGGAUUGGGCUGUGGUUCACGCGAAAAAACAAAAAAUUCUGAACCAUUUAUCUUUUGUUUUCGGUGGGGGUUAAAAAAAUGAGUUAAGUUACUCCAUAUUUGAAUCGAGUUCGAUUUAAUAAGAAUUAGUUUGAAUUUGGUUUGUUAAUUAAUUAAACCAAACUUACAUAAUGUUUUGUGUUUUAUAAAUUUUCAAACUCGAUUCGAACUUGAUUUUAUUAGCAUUUUUAUGCUAAUUUUAUUAACAUGAAAUGAUAAUUUAUAAGUAAAAAUUACAAGCUACUUGAGCUCAAUUUGAUCUCGAUUCGAUAAAAGCUGGUCCAAGUUUGGUUUGAAAAAUUAAUAAGCUAAACUUGAACACAUUUUCAACAUUAUUAGAAUAAUCAAACAAAUUUAAAUAUUAAAUUGUUGUACAUGGUUAGACUCAGUUGUAGUGCUACAUUUGAGAGUCAUCUAAGUUGGGCCACAUUUGGUGCGACCCAUUUAGGCCCAGAUCAGAGUGAUCUGGAGGUUUUUAUAUUUUUUCGUCUCCCUAAGACCGGAUUCUAUUUAGCUUUGGGCCACUUUUGGCUAAGUCUUGACAUACAGACAACGCUUGAAAGUUCAAUUCUCCUAUUCCUAAUAUUUUGAUUAGUCCUUAUUAGGUGUUUGGUUCGUAUUUCGGAAUCAAAAUUGGAGCCUCAAUUAUAAACCUCAUCAUGGAUGUGGUUUUUGUUCAUCUGCCCUCACGAUUUGGCAUUGGAAUGGGUUUCAUUCCACUGAAGAGUUUAUCAACUUUUUUAUUUCGAAGCAAGAGUUAAUCAACUUGAAGCGCAAGUGGGACACGAUAAAAGAUAAAAUCUAUUACUUUCAUUACCAUUUAAUGAUUUCCAUUUUGGUCUACCGAACAAUAGGCAUAGGUAUCCUUAACUUUAAUAUAUACCGAUAGAGAUAGCAAUUAGGGCGGGUGCCCAUUGAGGGCUAAUGGAGCAGGGGCGAAUUUUUUCCCAAUUUAGAAAUGGGCCCGGGGGGGGGGGGAGUAUACCCCCAUCCUAUCCCCCACCCAGCCAUCAGUUUAAAAAAUUAAUAAAUACACAUAUAUGUAUAUAAUUAUAUAUAAUAUUUAACUUAAUUAUUUACAAACUUAUAAUAAUGAUAUUAUUAGUUAUAUGCAUUAUAUAUUGUAUAUUAGUAUUUGUAAUAUAAUUGAUAUUAGUAAUUAUACUAAUAAUUAUACAUGUCUACUAAUAGAAAUUAUUAAGUAGCUAUAAUAAAUUUAUUAAUACAUUUAUAUUAAAUUCCUAAUUACACUUGACACAAUAACACUUUUUCUUAAAAAAAUACAAUAAUGAUUUAGUGAUUGUAUUUAUAUCAAAAGUGAAAACUUGACUACUUUGGUUGUAUUUAUUCUAUCAUGUUGGAUUGUAUUCAAAUAACUUUUGUUUGAUUAUUUUUAUGAGUUUCAAUUGUGAAAUUAUAAUAGAUCAUAACUUUGUGAUGUGUUAAUAUCUUAGUACUUGAUUAUUUGUUAAAAUUUGACUGUAAUAAAAUUAUAUAACAAAUUUUUAUUAGCUCCAUGGAGAAAGUAAGACUAGACGGGGAGAGCGGGGGAUGGGGGCGAGGGGAACUAAUGGGCAGCGGGGAGGGUGGCGGGGGAGGGAUCCCCCACCCGAACCCCGCCCGAUUGCCAUCCCUAAUUAUCGACACUUAGACUAAUUUACCAAAAUGAGCACUCUUAAUUCCAGUACAAUUUUGUCCUUUUGUAACUUUACCAAUUUUUAGGGAUAAUUGUUUAUAUUGGACUCCAAUCAUUUGGGCUGCAAACCAUGGUUGGGAGCCUCGCUUGGUCCAACCAGUUAAACCCUCAACUCCUCUGCCUUCCAGUCUUGGUAAGUACAAAACCUGAUGGGGUUAAAAAUUGUUCAAUUUGGGUAAACUCAGAAGGACCGGUGCUAGUUCAGCCAUUAACCUAUUGAACCAAGAUUAUUUGUAAUGAAUUUGGUAUUGAUCCCAUUAAGUUUAAGUCGGAAUUAUAUGCCUUACCAGUGGAUGCUUGUCGUCCACUAAUUAAAAAGACAAUCAUUUUAUUUAUCUUGUGAUUUCUCUCGCGAAUUCUUUACGUCGCUAGAAAUCGUUUAAACUUUUAUUUGUCUUUUUUAGUUUUCAAUCUAGCUUGUCUUUUACUUUUUAAGUGGGUAAAGAUACAUCUAUUUAUUUUUACUAAUUUAUUUCCUUUGCUUGUUAUUCAGUUUUGACCAAUUGCAAUCUACACAUUUGACUACAUUGGACUUGUGUUAGACCUAUUUAUCCUAACAUUCCAGUCAUUACUUACAAAAAAGUGAACAGCACAAGAGAUGGAAAACAGGGAGAAAGACUACAAAGCUCAUGUUUUGGCUAUUCCAUUUCAAAGUCCGGGCCACAUAAAUCCUAUGCUUCAGUUACGUAAGAAAUUCAUACGUAAAGGUCUGAAAGCCACACUAGCCAUCACCAAAUUCACCUCCAACGUUAUGUAUACAAAAUCAGACAUAGUCCAGAUUGACAUAAUAUCAGAUGGCUAUGAUGAAGGUGGCUUCUUUGUCGCUGACCCUGUCCCAAUCUCCAUGGCUCGCUUUAAAGAAGUUGGCUCACGAUCAAUCAUUGAACUCAUGACGAAGUAUGAAUCCUUAGGGACUCCAAUUGACUUCAUCGUUUAUGAUUCCUUGCUACCUUUUGUGCUUGAAUUCUGUAAAGAAGUUGGUUUACCUGGAUUGGCUUUCUUGACUCAACAAUGUGGUGUUAACUACAUAAUGCACCAGUUUUAUCAUGGAAAGUUGUCUAAUCCGGUGUCUGAGUUUCCAAUCUCGAUUCAAGGAUUGCCGCCAAUUGAAUCUGCAGAUCUUCCUUAUUUUGAGCUGGAAAAGGAGGUAACCAUUCUUAGAUGCUUUGUUUUCUUGUUAUUGACCGCUGCAAAGUUUAGUUCAUUGACAAUAAACUGGUACUCAUGAGUAUUUUGGUGCAUGUGUCUCGGUGCAUGAACUAAGUUCAGUAUUUCUCGUUAAAUAAACAAAAUAUUCAGAGCAAAAACAAUUUUGGGGGUAAACAAUUUUUCUCAUACAAGCUGGAUCUAGCCAAGUACAGAUCCUAAAUUACAUAUCGAGACCCCUCUAUAUCCAUCUCCGAAUCGUUUUAUUAUUGAGUCCGAAAUUAUGUCAUGAACUAAAUCUAUUAGCUAAGGAAAGUCCAGAAAUGAAUUAUCUGGAUUUGUUAGUAGGAGAAAGGGAAAUAAUUAUGAAGAUGAAUAAGAAGAACAAUAGGGAGAAGUAGAAAAGAUCUGGAAAAGAGACGGGAAUUUGUUAUUGAAGAUCAGGAAGAAAGAUACCAAUUCGGUUACAACUUCCCUAUCCUUUCGGAACAAUAUGACUUGAUUCGAGUCGAGCUCGUGCUCGAAAAAAAUAAAAAAUAAAAAUUGUUUUUUAAAAAAUAAAUAAAAUAAUAUUUUUUUAUUAAUAAAUAAUAAAAUAAUAAGGAUAUAUAUGUAAUUUUACUAUUAAAAUUUAAAAAAUAAAAAAAAUAUAUAUAAUUAUAAUAAAAAAAAUAAAAAAUAUAUAUACUUAAAAUAAAAAAAUAAAAAAAAAUAUACUUAAAAUAAAAAAAUAAAAAAUAUAUAUACUUAAAAUAAAAAAAUAAAAAAUAUAUAUACUCGUGCUCGCGAGCCUAACGAGCUUAAUAUUUUGAGCUCAAGUUCGAGAUCGAUUUCGACUCGAGCCAGCUCGAACUCGACUCGAGCUGGUCGCGAGCGGCUCGAUUCAUUUGCAGCCCUAGUUAUUCUAUUCUGUACUCUUAAGGCAUAAUAUAAAACAAUUUAAAGAGGUGGAAUUGGUUGUUCAGAAAAGUUAAAAAAAAAUUUUUUUGGCUAAAGUUUCCUGAAUUUAGAGGGAGAUGAUAAUGUUCAAAAUUUAAGCUAAGUCAAUUUCUUAUAUUUUGUAUGCUUAUCAUGUGUCCUAAGAGGACAUAAUACGAAAAACAACCUUCAAGAAUUAAACUAACCAUACUAAAAUAAUAACAUCUCUAAUUUCCAUGAUUCAUGAAACAUUAGUAUCUCUCUCUUCUAUUUUAAUUAAACAAUAUUAACAUCUCCAAUCUCUAUGCUUUCACUUUCUUUCUUUCGAAAUAAAUAUUAUUUAACUCGAGAAUGAUGACGCAUAGGCAUGCGAGAGCAAACCAAAAGAGCUGUUAAUCAAUCUCUAAAAAUACUAUAUAGUACCUCUAAUCUCUGGGAUUUAUUUAUUUAACUAUAUCGUGCCUCUCUUUCUAAUUAGUCAAACUAAUCAGCCGUUAAAAAUUCAUCAGCCAUCUGAUUGGAAAUCGUGUGAAAAUUUGAUUCUGAAACCCCCACAAAUCACAUCUCGUUUCUUCUGUCAAAUGACUCUAAUCUUCUUAUUCCAAUCUUCCCAACUUUUGCUAUAAAUACCACAUCUCCCAAAACCCACCACCCGGGCCCCCCGGGAGUCUUAUCUUCAUCACUGGAAGACCGAUCCAACUCACAAGCCUGAGACAAAAGGAGUUGCUGUUUUCCACCCAUCAAAAGCUAGCCAGCUGAGCUCCGAUGUCAGUCUUUUCCGGUGUUCAUUUUUUGUUUUUUUGGUGUGGUAUUUUACGUGGCUCCAUGGAAGAUUACUUCUCCUUUUCUUCUUCUUAAAUUUUCCGCUAAUUUUAUCGAAGAUGCUAUUUUUGGCCGAAUCUGCUGUUUCUGUUUUUAGUAAUUUGUAUUGGUGAAUAAAGGAGAAGGGCAGAUUUUAGUUUUAGGGUAAGAAUAGAAAAAGCAUUGGGUUGGGUUGUGGUUCACCUGAUAUGAUCUGAACCGUUUAUCUAAGCUACUCUAUAUUUGAAUAUAAUCCGGUUUGAUAAGAAUUAAUCCAAAUGUAGUUCGCUAACUAAUUAAACCAAAAUUAAAUAGAACUUUGUGUUUGGUAAACUUUCAAAUUCCUUGAGCUUGAUUUUAUUGGCAUAAAAUAGAAUUUACAAGUAAAAAUUACAAGUUACUAGAGCUUGGUUCAAUCUCGAUUCAAUAAGAGUUAGAUUCGAAUUAGAUUUCACAAAAUUUUAAAAUAAUCAAACAAACUUAAAUAUUACGAUGUUGCAUUUGACUAGGCUUGUUUAUAGCUCUAAUUAUAAGAGUUAUCGGGGUUGGGCCACUUAGGUGCGCCCCAUUUUAGGCACAGAUCGAUUUAAUGAUUUCAUUUUGGUUUACCGAUCACUAGGUAAUUUUAAUAUACACUGUCGAUCCUUAGACCCAAAAUGAACAAUCUUGCUUCCAGCUCAAAAUGAUUGUUGGUAUCAUCAUUAUUAUGUCCUUUGCCCUGCUGUAACUCUACCAAUUUUUUUCAAAUAAUUGUUAUUUUGGACGCCAAUCAUUUGGGGUGCAAACCAUGGUUUGGAACCUGGCUUGGCCCAACCAGUUAAACCCUCAACUCCUCUGCCUUCCAAUCUUGGGAAGUGUAAAACCUGAUAUGGUGAAAAAUUGUUCAUCAAUUUUGGUAAACUAGGAAGAACCGCUGCUGGUUCAGCUGUUAACCUGAUUGAACCGAGAUGAUUUGUAGUGAAUUAAUCAGGUCAAUGGCCCAAUGCAAUUAGUUCCUUAAAAAUUGGCUGAAAUUACUCUUCAUUUUAUGAAUGACUAAGUUUGAAUUGUAUACCUUACCGGUGCAUGCUUGUCUUCCACUAAUUAAAGACACAAUAAUUUAGUUUACCAUACCAUUUCUCCUGUGAAUUCUCUACCUAGAAAUCGCUUGAACUUUUCUUUGUUUUUUCAAAUUUUCUAUCUAACUUGUCUUUUACUUUUAGGUAAGCAAAUAUACAUCUAUUGAUUUUUACUAAUUUAUUCCCUUUGCUUGUUUUCCAAUUUUGACCAAUUGAAAUCUACAUAUUUGACAACAUUGGAGUUAUGUUAUUUUCUACUUGUUCUAACAUUUCAGUCAAAUUGCUUUUCCGUGCAAAAAAGUGAACUGCAAAGGAGAUGGAAAACAGAGAGAAACAGUACAAAGCUCAUGUUUUGGCUAUUCCAUUUCAAAGUGCGGGCCACAUAAAUCCUAUGCUUCAGUUAUGUAAGAAACUCGUACGUAAAGGGCUGAAAGCAACACUAGCCAUCACCAAAUUCACCUCCAAAGUUUCGUUUCCAAAAUCAGACAAAGUCCAGAUUGACAUAAUAUCAGAUGGCUAUGAUGAAGGUGGCUUCUUUUUCACUGACCCUGUCCCAAUCUCCAUGGCUCGCUUUAAAGAAGUUGGCUCACAAUCAAUUCUUGAACUCCUGAAGAAGUAUGAAUCCUUAGGGACUCCAAUUGAUUUCAUCAUCUAUGAUUCAUUGCUACCUUUUGUGCUUGAUCUUUGUAAAGAAAUUGGUUUACCUGCAGUGGCUUCCUUCACUCAUCAAUGUGGUGUAAACUACAUAAUGCACCAGUUCUCUCAUGGAAAGCUGACUAAUCCAGUCACUGAGUUUCCAGUCUUGAUUCCAGGAUUGCCACCACUUGAACAUCAAGAUCUUCCUUAUUUUGGCAGUAAUAUACCAUAUCAUUUUGCAUACGUAUGUACGCAGUUCUCAAAUGUAAAUCAGGCGGAUUAUGUCCUUGUCAACACAUUUUAUGAGCUGGAAAAGAAGGUGAGUCUUCUAAUCAGAAAUUUUGUUUGAUUGAGAUUCCUUUGUACUUGUAUUUGUAUCUCUCUGUGGCUCCAUCACUUUCUUUUCUACUUUAUGUUAAACACUUUCUUAGAUGUCUCGGUGUAUGAACUAAAUUCAGCAUUUCUCAUGAGAUAGACUAAAUACUCAGAACAAAACAAUUUGUGGCUUAACAGAGACAUGUUCUUUGUUGAAUUUCUUCAAUCUGACGGGUGUGCUUGAUUUAUUUCUGUACUGGAAAUUGCACAAGGCAGUUCCAGAGAAAUGCAGGUGGGCUUUUUACUGCUUUUCAAUGGGUUCCUAGUUAGGCCAUAAACAGAAUCUUUUGACUAGUUGAAGCUGCUGACGGAUACUACUUACUAAGGAGGUUCAUUAAGUGAAAAUUUUGCAACUAAAAUCAGACAAAGUUUUCAAACAUACUAUGUCAAGCAUAGGACGCAGAUCAUUCAUAGUCUUUAGAGUAUCCAGAAGUUCAUCUAGACUGAUGAAUUUGUGAUUUUGAUAUUCCUUAGCUUCAUGGAAUGAUGAUGUAUGAAUGGUUUGACAUUAUCCUUCGUUGCUCAUCUAACUCAUUCAACGCAGAAUCAUGUUGAAGCUACAAAUAAUUGUAAAAUUUGAUCCCCUCUCUGUUUUAUUUGGCACAGGUGGUGGAUGAAUUUUCCAAACACUUGCCAGUUCUGACAGUAGGGCCAACAGUUCCCACUUUCUACCUGGAUAGGAGAGUUGUAGAUGACAAAGAAUAUGGAAUCGCUUCAGCAGACAAUGACCCCUCAAUAUGUUUAAAUUGGCUAAAUAGCAAACCAGCCAGGUCAGUUAUUUACGCAUCGUUAAGUAGCGUGAGGUCUGCCAGUUUCGGCGAAAAGCAAUUAGAGGAACUUGCUUUGGCUUUGAAGAACAGCAACUACCAUUUCUUAUGGUCUGUCAAACAUUUUGAGGCUGAAAAGUUGCCAAAAAAUUUUAAAGAAGAAGCAUCUGAUAGAGGCCUUCUCGUCCCAUGGACUCCGCAAUUGGAAGUACUUUCGAGCGAGGCUGUGGGGUGCAUUCUCUCACAUUGUGGUUGGAACUCAACACUUGAAGCUAUAAGCCUAGGAGUGCCGAUAGUGGCAAUGCCACAAUUUAUAGAUCAACAACCAAAUGCUAAGUUUAUCCAGGAUGUUUGGAAGGUGGGGAUCAGAGUGAAGCAUGAUAGCAAUGGACUUGCAACAAGGGAAGAAAUUGGACGAUGCAUUAAGGAGGUAAUGGAAGGAGAGACAGGAAAAGAAAUAAAGGAAAAUGCUAUGAAGUUUUCCAAUUUGGCUAAAGCGGCAGUUAGUGAGGGUGGAAGUUCAGAUGCAAAUCUCAAUUACUUUGUAAGCAAGAUGACGAGUUCGUCUUGAUCAUCUUGUCCUUGAGAACCCUAUCUUGGUUGUAUUGUUCAUCUAUUUAAUCUUCAUUGACUUGUAUUUUGUGACAUGUACUAUGAGUGAAGUUUAGCUAGCAUUUUUCUCGGACUAGCAAUGAGCACGUGCAUUGCC